UGGUCACAUCAGGUUGAAACACCGAUUCUCCUCCGAUCGCUGAACUUAAGCAACGUAGAGCCUGGUCUGUAGCUAUAUGGGUGACCGCUUGGAAAUACCAGGUGUUGUAAG
This is a non-coding RNA of Acanthosepion pharaonis, 111 nucleotides long. NCBI's taxonomy places the organism in Eukaryota, Metazoa, Mollusca, Cephalopoda, Sepiida, Sepiidae. The record is from the annotation of a GenBank genome assembly.